GUUGAUGUAGCUUAAACUCUAAAGCAAGGCACUGAAAAUGGCCUAGAUGACGUGUACCAACUCCAUAAACA
RNAcentral lists this transfer RNA (71 nucleotides) under Capra hircus (goat). RNAcentral describes it as "tRNA-Phe". Lineage: Eukaryota; Metazoa; Chordata; Mammalia; Artiodactyla; Bovidae. The record is from RNAcentral.